GAUGAACGCUGGCGGCGUGCUUAACACAUGCAAGUCGAACGGUGAAAGCGGAGCUUGCCCUGCUGGAUCAGUGGCGAACGGGUGAGUAACACGUGAGCAAUCUGCCCUUGACUCUGGGAUAAGCGCUGGAAACGGCGUCUAAUACCGGAUACGAGCUGCGAAGGCAUCUUCAGCAGCUGGAAAGAACUUCGGUCAAGGAAGAGCUCGCGGCCUAUCAGCUUGUUGGUGAGGUAACGGCUCACCAAGGCGUCGACGGGUAGCCGGCCUGAGAGGGUGACCGGCCACACUGGGACUGAGACACGGCCCAGACUCCUACGGGAGGCAGCAGUGGGGAAUAUUGCACAAUGGGCGCAAGCCUGAUGCAGCAACGCCGCGUGAGGGACGACGGCCUUCGGGUUGUAAACCUCUUUUAGCAGGGAAGAAGCGAAAGUGACGGUACCUGCAGAAAAAGCACCGGCUAACUACGUGCCAGCAGCCGCCGUAA
Molecule: ribosomal RNA, 484 nt
Filed under: uncultured bacterium
Lineage: Bacteria
Description: partial 16S ribosomal RNA
Rfam family: Bacterial small subunit ribosomal RNA
Source: RNAcentral